Molecule: non-coding RNA, 3174 nt
Organism: Phalacrocorax carbo (great cormorant)
Lineage: Eukaryota; Metazoa; Chordata; Aves; Suliformes; Phalacrocoracidae
Source: RefSeq, a predicted model, not a curated record
AGCAGGUGUUGCACAAGAUGGUGACGUUUGGGCAAGGGCUGCUAGAGGUAACAGAGCGAGCCCUCGCUGCUAAAAAAGCGCUCCCUUGCCCGGCCGGCUGUCAGGUAGGCUGCAGUACGUGGUGGGCUCGGGUUCGGCCCAUUACUUCUCGGGCGAACGCUGCGUGGCUGCAGCGGAGACGGGACGCAGGGUCAGCACGGCUCGGCGGGAGCUCCUGCGCCGCCCCGCACCAGCCGCUCCUCCGGCGGUCGCGGUCCCGGCGCCCCCCACCGACCCCCGGGCGCCUCCACAGCCACCACUUCCCCCGGGACCGGCGGCCACCCGCACCGCGUCCGACGCGUGGGACAGCGCUCCCACCCAGAGUGAAACACGAGGCGCCUCGCCCCGGCGCCGAAGAGAGAGCAGGGCCCGCCCGUCGCCCGUCUAAGGUCGUGGUUUUUUCAAGCAAAGAGCGAGGCGGCCCCGCCCGGCGGCGAGUGCCCGCCCGCCCCCCGCCGCGCCCGGGCAGGAAGCGGAGCUGGGCGGCCCCUCCCAGCGGCGCGGCGCGGUUGGGCUUGCCUCGGCGCCUGCGCCCGCAGGAAAUGGAGGUGGCACGAGGAUCUGCCGCCGCUAUGUGCGUCUCGUGUGGGAAUCUGCGCGGCCACGGCCGUGCCGGGCUGAUGAAGAGGCUCUCCUGCCCGCGGACCCUUCCCCAGGGCGGCAGGCCCCUCGGUCCCUUUGUUCCCAGCUCCAGGACUGGCUGAGGAGGAACGACACUGGACGUGCUGAAGGAUUACCGUAAACAGUUUAGAAACUGUAACUGUUAAAGUCGUAGGCUGUUUGUGUAAAUCUGCCUGAUAACUGGUGCGGCCUCGUGAAAGGACUUCGUGUGAUGCCCUCCUGUGGCAACAACGUGUACUGAUACUUUAAAUCAAGAGGGAACAGAAGGGAAUUGGAAAAAGUGGUCCUUUUUCCCCAGCCUAAAGGGGUUUGAGGGUGUCUGCUUUUAUGCGUGAGGGCCUUUGGGCAGCCCUGGCAAAGUCCCCAGUUAGCUGCUGGGCGAGGUGUGGUUGGGGGUGUCCCUUCCUUUGAUGGUUCCUGUUGCUGCAAGCUCUGCAGGGAUGCCUGGAUCACUGCUGCAAGUCAGGGCAGCCUGUGGGGUUCAGGUGGCCAAUAGCAGAGCCUUAGGCAUGAGCUCCUGUCCUUCAGAGAAGAUGAAUUUUGCUAGUAUUUGCCAGUAAAUGCACAUAGUGAAAAGGAACACAAAGAAAAACGCUAACAGUUCAGCAGUGAGCCAGAGUUCCUGUAGACAUGCCAGAGAUGAGAACUGGUUUUGCCUCAUUGGAGACAUCCUUCAAUGCAGAGAAGUAGCUCUUGGAUGGACAGCUCAACACAGCUCUUCAAGAUGAGUGCUAUAUCAAGGAUUCCAGAUAAACUGAUACACUUGGUGUUAGUCAGCUCUGGGGUACUGUGCUGGCCCUUUAGCUUCGGUAGGAGAUGCCCCUUUUACUAUUAAAUACAGCUUCCAGUUCUGUACUGGUUUUGGCCCUUAGAGCCUCAGAGAGGUAUUGUACUUCCCUGUCUGGUGGACUUAUGCAGGCAGGUGAGGUGGAUGUGAACUUAAAGCUUGGUGCCAUACUGGUCUGAUUGAUAGACCCUGUGGUGGAAGCAGUGGCCUCCCUGUAAGGGAUUUAUAUAAAGGUAGCUCACAGUGACAGCUGGUUUUAAAAAAUGCAGGUUGUUUGUGCGUUUUCCUUUGUUGUAUAAACAUUUAAGCGACAGGGAUGGGAUUCCUAAGGGAGGAAAGCUUGGGUUAUUGCUGUCAGGUGAAGCUUUUAUUAAACAGAAACAUGCAAACUCAUUUCCCAUAUUGUUUUUAACCUAGUAGCCAAUUAUUGCUUGUUUGUUCUAUUGUAGCCUUAGCUGUCCUGUACCACACCUCGCUAUGACCACUGAGUCAUACUCUGCUGAGCAGGCCACUCCAUACUCAGCCAUCAGGCCUGCAUUCUCCAGCAGAUUAAACCAAGCUGGCAAUGUAAUGAUGGAGCUGUUUGGUACCUGUACAGCCCCAUGCCACAGGUGUCCGAGCACCUCGUGUUUGGCUCAGAAAAUCUGUCCUUGCAGCAGUCCUGCAGGAGGCUUGUAAAGGGCAGUUCACAGCUUGAAAAAGAGUUUGGAUUGGCUUCUUGCAUCAUCUGAGGUGAAUGGCUAAUCCUUGCGCCAGGGUACAGGUAUGGUUUAAACGCUUGAGGUGAAAGCUGCUGGUGGGGAGUGGUGGGACUGUUCAUAAGAGAACAGCUGCUUUCACCAGAAUUGUUGGGCUCACUAGCAGUCUUUCUGCAUUGAAGGCUUUGCUGGGAGGCUCAGACAUCCUCAUAUCUCUGCUCUGAUAUUUGCAUGUUUUACUCUUUCAGAUAUCUACUUGAAACGAAGUCGUGUCGCUCAAUUUUUGGCAGAUAAAGGUAAAACAUGUUCUAGUGAGUGGAAGUUGGACCCUGGAUCAAGUCAUACUUUUUUAAGCAAAGGGGAAAAAAAGUGUUAAAACAAAAAGGUGUUAAAACAACUUGGGUGGUGCUACCUCACCACUUCAUUGCCUGGCAGAGGAGCUGUAUGCGUCAGCUGCUGUUCUCUGGUACGGCCUUGCAAUGUCAGCAGGGCUUGCCUGGCCACCUCCUGCCCUCUGCGUUGGCAGCGCCGGCUGGCCGAGUCAUCCGUUUCUGCUGGACACAAGUUGUGCUCACAGCAAGUCUCUGGCCUGCUGCACAGGAGGUCUGACAAAGUGACCAUAACAACCCUUUCUGCACUGGAAAUCUCUUAAUUCCUGGUAGGCUAAGAAAUAACACUGUACUUGCGUAGCUGAGUGUUGCUAAACAUCUCCUUCUGAGGCCUGCAAAACAGAGAGCAAUUAGUACCAAGAGAGGAUGGUACUAAUCACUGCCGUAAUGACAUAUUCAGUUCCUGUCUUUAUGGUUUCUGCAAAGCCUGUUUUGGAGAGAUUUUAAGCUAUUUGGGGAAGAACAGGCAAGCAUUUGGCACAUGGUUCUACAUGAAAUCUCUUCAGUUUUGCCAGGCUCUGUUUGUUUGUAGGGACCCUGUGUAUUGUAGAGGCCGCUGCCUGUUCCCAACUAUCCCCUAGAAUGGGAACUUGAACCAACAAUUUUUGUGAUGAAUGUACAAUAAAUCUGUGGAAAAGCU